UACGUAGGGAGCAAGCGUUGUCCGGAAUCAUUGGGCGUAAAGCGCGCGUAGGUGGACAUACAAGUCUGCUGUCAAAGUGCAGAGCUUAACUCUGUAAAGGCGGUGGAAACUGUAGGUCUUGAGUAUGGUAGGGGUAGAGGGAAUUCCCGGUGUAGCGGUGAAAUGCGUAGAUAUCGGGAAGAACACCAGUGGCGAAAGCGCUCUACUGGGCCAUAACUGACACUGAGGGACGAAAGCUAGGGGAGCGAAAGGG
RNAcentral lists this ribosomal RNA (253 nucleotides) under uncultured bacterium. Its description in RNAcentral is "partial 16S ribosomal RNA". It matches the Rfam family "Bacterial small subunit ribosomal RNA", at positions 524 to 776 of the family's 1533-position model. The record is from RNAcentral.